UCUGUUCUUCAUUUCACAGCUUUACUCGCUUGAAAUCGGUUAUUUUUGUGUCCUUGAAAUGUCCAUUGCUCUUUGCACUUGUUUGUGGUUUGUUUACUGAAAUCGAAACUGCAAAUUUUUGUGUUUAGCUGUUAAAAUUUCAGCUUAAUUUGUUCGGAUCUGGUAUAGAUACUAUUUCCGUACUCACGAUACUGUAAUGGCGGCUCUAAUAAUUCUAUCUUGAAAUUAGGCUUUGAAUAUGUAGAAAAACCGGUACGAUGGAGUUGUGGAAGUGAAAAUUAUAGAUCAAAUUGAGUGAGAAAAUUGGGCUUGGAAGUACCGGUAAAGCGAUAUUACCUUGUUUACAACUCUUUUCAAAUUUUUUAUUGUUUGUUUGUUUGUUUUUGGAGCUCUAUUUGUUUAACAUUUACUAUACAGUACUUCUGCUUUUAAUAUUUAAUGGCUCAAUGCACUAUUGAUUGUGAUACCAAUAUAGAAUUCAUAUCAUAUCCUUGUUCUGUAUAAGAUUGGAGACAAGUGAAGAUAUAAUAGAUUUUAUUCAGGAUAUAAUUGUUAUUCUGGUCUCAGGCUUUAAGGGUGAAAAGAGAUAAAUUAAUACUAAGCGAAGUCUAUAAAUUGAAUAGAAUGUUUUGUGGGACGUAAUAGGUACUAAUAUAAAUUGCAGCAUGAAAAGAGAUAAAAUAAAGUAUUUUUAGAGCCUGUACGUAACACAUUUGUUAUAAUAUCUUCUAAAAAGCUCUUCCAUGCCUUUGUUUUGUGGAGAAAUCUACACAACUUUGAUAUUGUGCAUUAGAGUAGAUUUUUUUGCUAUGCCACGUUUCAUUUCAGAUUGGCUUGUGUUAUUCUUUGCCUGACUAGAACUGAAGGCUUCUAGGGCAUUCUACAUGGACUAAAUUCUUAAAAGAAGCUAUUAUUUAUCAAAAUAAAAAAUAAAAAAUAAUAUGAGCGUUAUCAUAUGAGCGUUAGGACAUUAUUUAGAACUUCAUGUUAAAUCUUUUGAUUUCAUUCUAGCAUUCAUUUGUUUUCAUAGUAGUUAAGAGACUUUUAUCUCCAUUGAAAGGGACAAUAGAAAGUAGCCUUCAUUAAAUACCUAACAAGUUGUAUAUAUCCAAGUUUGUGAUCUAGGAACCUGGUUUGGAAGAUUGCUUUCACUCCCUCUGUAAUGCCUUCAAUUGUCAACAAUAAUAGGUAUGGUUAUAGAGUUGGUGGUUGGUGAUAGUGCUAUAAUGAUGGGGGAGUUGGGUGGGGAUAGAUGAUAAGGAGAGGACUUGUGAGAAAAUCUAUCAACACAUAAAAGAAAACCCUUACAAUUUCAGAUCUAUGUGCUUGAAAUUUGUAGUUAGAACUUUGUUUGUUAUGAUGGCUGCAUAACAUUGUUUCUAACGGCUUUUUUGAUGAAUUCUCUCUUUUCUUACUUUACUGUACUUGCUCUUUUUUAUUAUUAUUGCAUGCAUAUUGACCCAUUCAUGAAACAUAUUUAUUAUUUGUAACCAAAUCAUGACCCAAUUCACAAUUUGGAUGUUAAUAGCUGCCAACUAGUUGUGAUGUAUUUUUGAACUAUGAUGUAAUUGUGCCAAGCCUUAUCUUGUAUUACUUCUUUAUUAAUAAAAUUCCAUUUUCUUUGUUGAUGAAUUUUUUUUUUCUUCUUUUGUGUGUUUGGUGAUUUAAAAAAAAUUCAUGACUGUGUAAUAUACAUUUGUUGAUACUACCAAUGUUGCUAUAUGGGGACCAAUAUCGACUCCUAUCGGGAUACUGUUAUCUAAAAUCCCGAUUCUAACUCCAUUUUGUAACCUUUUGCUCUGAAUGCAUCAAUUUGCGACAAGUAUAUUAUGAGGUAUUUUUGUAGGGCUUAUGAUAAAAUUGCAACCAAGUGUGACGGCACGGAGGCUGUCACCAACUUCGAUCCCAGCAUCUAUGAAGAUGAGCUUAAAUCUACUAGUAAUUAUAGUACUGAAUAAUACUGAUGCCAAUUUUGUAUAAUGUUUGUUUUUUCAAAGUGUUUCUGAAUCAAAUUUGAUUGUUAUAUAUCUGUUUCCCAGAGUCUCCUAGAAAUGCUACACCGAACCAUAACUUAGAUUUGAGAUUGGGUAGUUUGACCUCAAAACACAAAAAAGCCGAGAAUUGGGAAAUGAAAUCCAAAAUGUUGAUCAGUCAGAUCAGCAUCAUACUACCAUACCAUUUGAAGCAGAUUGGCACAACCGGGCAUUUAGGCCACAGCUCAAUAUUCAACAAGAACCAUAUAGAAUUAAUUCCCAUAGAAGAGAAGGGUACAAUGAGGCCGAGACAGUGCAACUUCUAAGCCAAACCCACAUUCAAUCUUCGAGUUCACUAAGACCCAGGCAAUUCGUUAAGGAGAGUGAAAACUCAAUGCUUCACAUGUUUUCACCCUCAUCAAACUGUCAAGUUUAGUAUCCUAGCAGCAGCAGUAAUGGAGGUCAAAUUGGAGCCACCACCAGAGGCAAUCACCUCUCCCUGUCAAUGAACAACAAUCAGUAAAGGUCGUUCAUCAAUCCUCUGCAAUUGUUUGCAACUGCUGCAACAUCAUUAGGAUUCCCACAGCAGAUAACUACCCGACCCCAAAAUUGGCUACACCAGAAAAAUGGAUUUUACUCUCUGAAGAGACCCUCUUGACCCAACUUUUUGUUUUUGGUUUUUUAAAUCUUUAUGUAACAAGGCCUUUCGAGUUUGUAAGCAUGUAAAGAUUAAUGCUUUGAGCUUAAAUUUCUUCUUUUCCAGUCUCAAAAUAGUAUGUCAAACCCAAGUCACGAGUAUAUAACUUGGAUUCAAUAUCAGAUGAGAAAAAUUCAACGUUUGCAUAA
Non-coding RNA from Camellia sinensis, 2819 nucleotides. Lineage: Eukaryota; Viridiplantae; Streptophyta; Magnoliopsida; Ericales; Theaceae. The record is from RefSeq and is a predicted model, not a curated record.